CUGUGGCUUCAGCUUGCUUCUGUUUUUUGGGUUGAGCUAAGCUACUCCAUAAACAUAGGCUAGCUAGCAUAAUGACCUAUUGACAUGUCAGGGACAUCACCUGAUGUGCAAAUAUUUCCCCUGCUACUACAACUAAGGCAACCUGAAGGCACUACCACCAGCUUCACUACCACCCCAUAUAGUCCACUCGAGCAUGUGGUUACCUAUCAUUUAGCCUCAGUUCCAUGCUUCCUGCAUGCAUGUUAAUGCGGACGAGACUUAGGAGAAUGGUAACGCGAGACUACCAAUCAUUAAGCACUGAAAGAAUCAACUCUAUUGAUUAUCUGAACAGUCACAUAGUUUGAAGGACUGCGUGAGCUAGACUGCAUAACACCUCCAUCAAAAGUUCCCUUAGAGAGAGAGAAGCAGAAACAUGGAAAUCGACCGUCCAAGAUCGGUUACAGCUUAAUCGCAUUUCUAGAAGAAAACUGAGCAGGUCAGCCACCAGAGGGAGACUCAUCGAGGCCUGGUUACAGACGGAGUAUACAUCACGAGGCGAUGGCUCCCUCUGCUGGACGUGCCAGGUUUAGACGGGCUCUCCGGCCAGGACUAAUUGGGGCUGAUUGUGGUUUGUGAGUAAAUCAAGGGCUGAUUGCUCACCAGCUGGACGGGUCCCAUAAAGCUGCCAGAAGGGCAGCACACGGAAGAAGGGACUGGGGGAAGAAAGGUUAUUCCCGUAUAGUUGGGGACUGUUCCAGAGGUAAAAGGAGGGAGUUCAGUUUUGUGUACCCCACAGGAUACAGCAAGACCCAGAGCCCAGAAGACGGUAUACCGGAGAGGGUUUCAUGGGGGAGACCUAUUAUUUUCUUUUGGUUUAUUAUUUAAAUAAACACUCUUGAAACCGAGCU
Molecule: non-coding RNA, 887 nt
Organism: Oncorhynchus mykiss (rainbow trout)
Lineage: Eukaryota; Metazoa; Chordata; Actinopteri; Salmoniformes; Salmonidae
Source: RefSeq, a predicted model, not a curated record